Molecule: ribosomal RNA, 438 nt
Filed under: uncultured bacterium
Lineage: Bacteria
Description: bacterial SSU rRNA
Rfam family: Bacterial small subunit ribosomal RNA
Source: RNAcentral
CCUACGGGGGGCAGCAGUCGGGAAUAUUGCGCAAUGGAGGAAACUCUGACGCAGUGACGCCGCGUGCAGGAAGAAGGUUUUCGGAUUGUAAACUGCUUUAGACAGGGAAGAAAAAAGACAGUACCUGUAGAAUAAGCUCCGGCUAACUACGUGCCAGCAGCCGCGGUAAUACGUAGGGAGCAAGCGUUAUCCGGAUUUAUUGGGUGUAAAGGGUGCGUAGACGGAGAAGCAAGUUAGUUGUGAAAUCCCUCGGCUUAACUGAGGAACUGCAACUAAAACUACUUCCCUUGAGUACUGGAGAGGAAAGUGGAAUUCCUAGUGUAGCGGUGAAAUGCGUAGAUAUUAGGAGGAACACCAGUGGCGAAGGCGACUUUCUGGACAGUAACUGACGUUGAGGCACGAAAGUGUGGGGAGCAAACAGGAUUAGAUACCCUAGUA